GACGAACGCUGGCGGCGUGCCUAAUACAUGCAAGUAGAACGCUGAAGGAGGAGCUUGCUUCUCUGGAUGAGUUGCGAACGGGUGAGUAACGCGUAGGUAACCUGCCUGGUAGCGGGGGAUAACUAUUGGAAACGAUAGCUAAUACCGCAUAAUAGUAGAUGUUGCAUGUCAUUUGCUUAAAAGUUGCAAUUGCAUCACUACCAGAUGGACCUGCGUUGAUUUAGCUAGUUGUUGGGGUAACGGCUCACCAAGGCGACGAUACAUAGCCGACCGGAGCGGGUGAUCGGCCACAUGGGGACGGGGACACGGCCCAGACUCCUCCGGGAGGCAGCAGUAGGGAAUCUUCGGCAAUGGACGGAAGUCUGACCGAGCAACGCCGCGUGAGUGAAGAAGGUUUUCGGAUCGUAAAGCUCUGUUGUAAGAGAAGAACGGGUGUGAGAGUGGAAAGUUCACACUGUGACGGUAUCUUACCAGAAAGGAACGGCUAACUACGU
Molecule: ribosomal RNA, 494 nt
Filed under: uncultured bacterium
Lineage: Bacteria
Description: partial 16S ribosomal RNA
Rfam family: Bacterial small subunit ribosomal RNA
Source: RNAcentral